RNAcentral lists this ribosomal RNA (79 nucleotides) under Geobacillus thermodenitrificans. Its description in RNAcentral is "partial 16S ribosomal RNA". It matches the Rfam family "Bacterial small subunit ribosomal RNA", at positions 1 to 79 of the family's 1533-position model. Lineage: Bacteria; Bacillati; Bacillota; Bacilli; Caryophanales; Anoxybacillaceae. The record is from RNAcentral.
CUUUUGGAGAGUUUGAUCCUGGCUCAGGACGAACGCUGGCGGCGUGCCUAAUACAUGCAAGUCGAGCGGACCGAACGAG